RNAcentral lists this ribosomal RNA (423 nucleotides) under uncultured cyanobacterium. RNAcentral describes it as "bacterial SSU rRNA". It matches the Rfam family "Bacterial small subunit ribosomal RNA", at positions 356 to 795 of the family's 1533-position model. Lineage: Bacteria; Bacillati; Cyanobacteriota. The record is from RNAcentral.
GGGGAAUCUUCCGCAAUGGGCGAAAGCCUGACGGAGCAAUACCGCGUGAGGGAGGAAGGCCUUUGGGUUGUAAACCUCAAAACUUAGGGAAGAAGAAAGUGACGGUACCUAACAUAAGCAUCGGCUAACUCCGUGCCAGCAGCCGCGGUAAUACGGAGGAUGCAAGCGUUAUCCGGAAUUAUUGGGCGUAAAGAGUCCGUAGGUGGAACUUCAAGUCUGCAGUCAAAGACCAGAGCUUAACUCAGGAAAGGCAGUGGAAACUGAAGAACUAGAGUGUGGGAGGGGUAGAGGGAAUUCCCAGUGUAGCGGUGAAAUGCGUAGAGAUUGGGAAGAACACCAGUGGCGAAGGCGCUCUACUGGACCAAAACUGACACUGGGGGACGAAAGCUAAGGGAGCGAAAGGGAUUAGAUACCCCUGUAGUC